RNAcentral lists this ribosomal RNA (253 nucleotides) under Dorea formicigenerans. Its description in RNAcentral is "partial 16S ribosomal RNA". It matches the Rfam family "Bacterial small subunit ribosomal RNA", at positions 524 to 776 of the family's 1533-position model. Lineage: Bacteria; Bacillati; Bacillota; Clostridia; Lachnospirales; Lachnospiraceae. The record is from RNAcentral.
UACGUAGGGGGCAAGCGUUAUCCGGAUUUACUGGGUGUAAAGGGAGCGUAGACGGCUGCGCAAGUCUGAAGUGAAAGGCAUGGGCUCAACCUGUGGACUGCUUUGGAAACUGUGCAGCUAGAGUGUCGGAGAGGUAAGUGGAAUUCCUAGUGUAGCGGUGAAAUGCGUAGAUAUUAGGAGGAACACCGGUGGCGAAGGCGGCUUACUGGACGAUGACUGACGUUGAGGCUCGAAAGCGUGGGGAGCAAACAGG